RNAcentral lists this long non-coding RNA (6243 nucleotides) under Nicotiana benthamiana. RNAcentral describes it as "long non-coding RNA (NBEN_LNC038647)". The record is from RNAcentral. Lineage: Eukaryota; Viridiplantae; Streptophyta; Magnoliopsida; Solanales; Solanaceae.
CCAAAAACAACAAAAAAACCAAUAGAAAAUCAAAAAGUUACUGUUACAUUGAGGCCCUUAGAUCAGUUUCAGCUUAUUUUAGCAAUCGUUUUAAAUCCUUAGCCUAGUUUGAAGAGGAGAAUAGCUAGAGAGUUCUAGUGUUUGGUUAUUGAUGUGAUUGAGCUUGUUUCUAGGUCAAUUUCAACAUUGUUUUGAUAACUCAAACUUGUUUGAUCAAUUGUUGGUGUUGUGGUUUCCUUCACUCAUCUCUGGGUUGAUUCUGAUAUAUUUGUUGGGCUGUGAACUUGCUUCUGAGUUGUCAUAUGACUUCCUGCUCAUUGUUGUUGAUCCUCACUUGUUUCACUUUCUAUAUUCUACGUACAUAGUUGUACUUUUGAUAAUUGUGAGCUGAAACUGAUGAAGCAUGAAUUUACCUGAAGGAUCGAGCUUUUAUUUAUUGCAUUUCUAGAUUUAUCUGUGCAACACGUAGUUCAUUGAUGAUGUUGAAUUUAUUCUUAUUUUUGUAUAUAAUAGGACUAUUAUGGUCUUACUUGUUUAGUGCAUUUCUAGAUUUAUGUAUGCAACACGUAGUUCAUUUAUGAUGUUUAAUUUCUGCUUAUUUUUGUAUAUAAUAGGACUAUUAUGGACUGUUUAAAAUUGUGGUUGUCCGGCUAUAGUUUUUCAGUAUAGUUUAGUGUUUGUUUAUAGUUUAGUGUUUUGUUAAUCAAUAAAAGUCAGAAAAUAUUUUGGAUUUGUAAUUGACUACCAGGAUAAGAUGGCCACAACAAGUUUAAUUUCAAGCUGAAUGUAUGUCCGAGCCCUUGCCUAUAAAAGCCAUGCCUCUUGCCUUCUCUACCAGUUUCGGAGCUCCAAAAACCUUCCCCCAAAAAAUCAUUCUGCAGAUCUGACUUUCCUAAUUUGAAUUUCAAAUCUCAAAACCUUCAAAAAACCAAAAACAACAAAAAACCCAAUAGAAAAUCAAAACAUUGCUGUUACAUUGAGGCCCUUAGAUCAGUUUCAGCUUAUUUUAGCAAUUGUUUUAAAUCCUUAGCCUAGUUUGAAGAGAAGAAUAGCUAGAGAGUUCUAGUGUUUGGUUAUUGAUGUGAUUGAGCUUGUUUCUGGGUCAAUUUAAACUCUAUUUUGAUAACUCAAACUCGUUUGGUCAAUUGUUGGUGCUGUGGUUUCCUUCACUCAUCUCUGGGUUGAUUCUGAUACAUUUGUUGGGCUGUGAACUUGCUUCUGAGUUGUCUUUUGACUGCCUGCCCAUUGUUGUUGAUCCUCACUUGUUUCAGUUUCUAUAUUCUACGUACACAGUUGUACUUUUGAUAAUUGUGAGCUGAAACUGAUGAAGCAUGAAUUUACCUGAAGGAUCGAGCUUUUAUUUAUUGCAUUUCUAGAUUUAUCUGUGCAACACGUAGUUCAUUGAUGAUGUUGAAUUUAUUCUUAUUUUUGUAUAUAAUAGGACUAUUAUGGUCUUAAAAGUGUGGUUGUCUGGCUAUAGUUUUUCAGUAUAGUUUAGUGCUUGUCUAUAGUUUAGUGUUUUGUUAAACAAUAAAAAUUAGAAAAUAGUUUGGGUUUGUAAUUGACUUCUAAACCAGCAUAAGAUGGUCACAUCAAGUUUAAUUUCAAGCUAAAUGUAUGUCCUAAGCCACUUUGAAUUGCAGUAGGUGAUAUUAGCAGAUUAAUUUGGGGCAUCAACCUCUUCGUGUCAAUGUUAAUAGAAUCAUAUAAUCCAGCUGCUUAGUGUAGUCACUUGAAAUUCCUGUUCACGAACUAUUUUUCUGUUAAAUUCUAUUUGUGUUUCCAGGUCAUUUCCACCCUCAGCGAUAUUUAGGAGGUCACCAAUAGAUAAGUAAACAAGGAAAGUGAGUUGUAAUAUUAAAUCUGAUUUGACCUGAAAUCCGGGCUGUUUUCAAGUUUGCCAUUGCUAAGCCUAAUUUUCAAUUGUGAGGCUGAAGGCAACUCGCACAAGCCUUCAUGAAUUUGAUGGAUAUAUUUUUUUCCUGGGCUAAACUUGAGGCCCAAAAGGGAAUUGAUGAGACUCUUAUGAAAACCAUGGACCGAAGUAUAGUAGUGUGUGAACAAUAUUAAAUGAUUAGGACUUUUCCUGUUAUUAUUAGAUACAAAUAAAAAUAAAAAAUUAUAAUGCUUUUAGUUUUGCCUUUUUAAAUAAUAAAUAAGAUGAGCCUCGCUAAACAAAGCACAUAAAUCACGGGGUCCUCAAAUAAAUAUUAUAUUAAAAUAUUUAGAUUUCAGAAUGGGUCGUUUAGCGAAUUUCAAGUCCAUCCCCAAAGAUAAUAAUGCGUUUGUCACUUUUAGCGCGAUUUUAAUAAAAUUAGCUUCCUAAACUCGGGUGCGUAUUUAUGUAACCCAAAUUCAAAUCUCAACGAAGUUGAAAUGUGUCAACAACUACGGGUGCAUUGAUGUGACGUGGUUCGAGACAUGUUUUCACCAUGUUGCCAUUCUCGUUAAAAAUAAUAACAAAAUUGGUUCGAAGCUAAAAAAAACAUAAUCUAAAAUAUGUUUUGACAUCAGACAAAUCCAAAUAUAACAGUUGAGUGACCGUACUAGAACCACGGAACCCGUGAAUUCCUAACACCUUCUCCCGGAUUAAUAGAAUUCCUUACUCGGAUUUCUGGUUCGUGGACUGUCAAACAGAGUCAUUCUUUCCUCAAUUCGGUAUUCUAAAUCGGUGAAUUGGGACACCAUUAAUCUCUUAAGUGGCGACUCUAAAUUUUAAUAACAAAUCCUGUUUCGAUUGUCCUUUAGGUGGAAAAACUCAUUUACGCCCUUGAGGGUGUACUCAAAACGGAGGUGUGACACCCAUCCAAAUAAAAAUUCAAAAGCCCCAGGCAAAGAAACUGGGGCAAAAGUUGUGGUUAUGUAAAGAUUUAAUUCCAAACGUUGUAAUUACGAACCCACACAAUUUCUUUUCAGCCUUUACCCUUUUUUUCUAACCCCAUCCAAAAGCCCACAUUACGGUCCAAAGAAAGACUUUGCGACCAAUAUUUGAGAGUUACAAGUCAAGAAAGAUAUAGGUAUGAUUCAAACUAGGUGCAAAACUCCGGUCUAAGCAGAAAAAUUGAAAAAAUGAGAGAGUUUUAUUGGUAAAAAUCCUCACAAGCACCGUAAGGCGAUUGAAAGAUGAGAGAAAUUUAAAAUGCGACUGUCUUAUUGGUGAAAACCUUCACGAUCAUCAUAAGGAGAUAGUGAGUUGAGGAAUGUACAAAUGAGAGAGGUUCGUUGGUGAAAACAAGGUCAGUGACUUAGCGAAAAGAUUGGAUUAUGGAGAUCCCGAGACAUAAAGUAUGACAACUGAAAGGUGAUUGAUUGAAUAGGCUAGUCUGAUUAAUCCGAAAUGCAUGUCAUGAUCAUUGGUGCCAGUUGUUUCACUCAGAUAAGUCUCUUCUUUUUCUCUCCUUCAAACAAUCAUCCAACUUUAUAUUUUCUUCUUUAUUCCCAACUCUCGAAGUCAUUGCAUUUCAAUUAUUCUGGCUUUAUUGGUCUAAGGUUUUUCCAAUAUCAGCCUUAUUUAAGCAUGUGAGAAAGGAUUUCAAAGCUGACUACCAACUUCCAAUUUGCACAAAGCAACAUGCGGCCAAAACAUACCAGAGAUGGCAUGAUGCAAAAUGGGAAAUAACGUGUCAGUGAAAGUUCCAUUGGUCGAAUUAUUUGGGAAUUUCGUGAAAGAUACAGAUGUUCAGGAAGAAGGAUAGAAAUGUAAAACAGCAGGUUGGGUGUAGAGCAUUCGGGUCAUGCAAGGUCCUGUGGUUGGGAUUCAGUCAGAAAGUCAAACAAAUGUUGGUUGGUUCAAAGCAGCCAGUUAGAACAAAGCACGGCAGUGGGAAGGCCACCAUUAGAAAGAAUGCCAAAAACUAACCACCACAUUUUUCAAACUGAUAAAGCUAUCUUUGACUGAAGUAGGGGCAGGAAAUAUCGUUUGUUCUGGAGGAACCCUCCGUAAGGAAAGCAUGUACCGGACAGGUUCGACCGUAAAUUCUAAGGACCCGACUGGAUAAUGGAAUUUAGUUGGAAGUUCUCAGGACCCUCCUGGACAAUGGGAUUUAGUUAAAAUUCAAAACAUUCAUGAGUAACAAGAUCUAGCAUAAGCUCUACUUUGAGGAAAUAUAAGUUGGUUUUGAGGUUUCCAUUCUUAUGACGAGAUUUAUUUGGAAAUUUUUAGGACCCUCCGGGAUAAUGGGAUUUAUAUUUUUAGACCUUCAUAGAUAAAAAGAAUUAGCGUAAGUCAUAAUACCUAAUUUGAAGUUUUCAGGACCCUUUUGGAUAAUGGGGCCUAGCUUUAAAACCCUUGGAGAUAUUGGGAAACAUGAUUCAAUUAACACUUACAGAUGUCCCCAACUACCAAAUUGAGGCAGCGAAAUUUCUUUUAUUUUAUCUGUUUUGUUGUCAUCAGGCGCCCACCUAGAGAACAAGGGAAGGCAUCACGAGUUUUGAGAAUAGAAACUAGUUCAAGUUAAAACAAUCAGGCACCCACCUAGAGAAUAAAGAGAAAGCAGCAAUAUCUAAAAGAAAACAACUUAAGUUUCGAAGGAAAACAAUUCAAAUUUCAGGGGAAAGGAAUACAAUUCAAAUGUUGGUAAUCAGACACCCACCUGGAGAAUAAAGGGAAAGCAGCAAUGUCUAAAGGGAGAUGGUUCAAUUUCAGCAGUCAGGAGCCCACCUGGAGAACAAGGGAAAACGAGUAAAGUUUCAAGGGAAAAGAAGUGCAAGUGUUGGAAGUCAGUCACCCACUUGGAGAACAAGGAGAAUCAGUUCAAGUCUCAAGGAAAAAUAGUACAAGUGUUGGAAAUAAGUCACCCACCUGGAGAACAAGGGAAAACAUGUCAAGUUUCGAUGAAAAGCAAUCCAGGUUCUGGCAAUCAGGCACCCACCUAGAGAGCAAGGGAGUACAAUUAAGUUUUGGAAAUCAGGUGCCCACCUGGAGAGCAAUGGAAUAGACUAAAAGUUUUGGCAACCAGGCAACCAGGCACCCACCUAGAGAGAAGGGAAUACAGUUCAAGUUUUGGCAAUCAGGCGCCCACCUAGAAGGGAAGGGAGUACAGCUAAAGUUUUGGCGAUCAGACACCCACUUGGAGAAUAGGUAAAUCAAUUCAAGUUUCAAAGGGAGACAGCAAAGGGUUCAAGGGAAAAUAGUUUAAGGUAAGAAAAGAAAUACAAUUCAAGUUUUGAUAAUCAGGUACCCACCUGGAGAACAAGGGAGCAUUGUUCAAAUGUUAGAAAUAUGGCGCCUACCUGGAGAAUAAGGGAAUUCACUUCGGAAUGCAACUCAAGUCGGCAACAAAGAAAGCUCACCUGGAGAGUACAAGUCAGCAAAGUGGCAGAAACUCUAAGAUCAAGUUUGAAGAUAUAGAUAGGAUUCUUAUAAUUCAUAGAUCAUAAUUUAGUCUAGAUUCUUUUAUUUUGUCUUGGUGUAAUAAGGAGUUCAGCAAGCAGUAGUAGCAGCAACAACAGUGAAAUAACAUCUUCCUGGUAGUCCCAUCUACCGAAACUUCCUGAACUACAUUGAGGUGAUUCCUUAAUAGCUAAAGAUAUGUAGGCAACCUCAGAAGCAGGGUGCGGUCAAAUCUUUCAAAAAUUCUUCCCACAGAGUAUUCAAACGGGCAAAAAUCAUUCGUAUCCUCUCAUUUUAUCUUUGCACAAAAACUCUUCGUGUUUAUGAGCAAACAGGGCGGCGAUGAGCACGUGAUUUUUGCCCUAUAGCAGUUAUUCCCAUAAAAUACAAGAAAAAUAAUUUUUUCAUUUUAUACAAUUUUGUGGCAAUUUGUGCUGAUUGUUUGCAUUUCUAUGCGUGUUUACUUCUAUUAAAAUCAUGAAACAAUGCCAAAAACACCAUGCACUGCAUUGAGAUUUUAUUUUCACAUUUUUAGGAAUAAUUAUUUAAUUAAUUAUUUUAUUAAGUAAAAAUCACAAAAUUGGUUCACUUUUACAUUUUUAGCUUUUAAUUUUAGAUUAGUAAUUUUUAUCUUUUAAUCUAGAGUCAACUAAUUCUUAUAAAUAUAAUAGUUAAACAAUUUGCUUAAUUUUAUAAUUUAAAUUAAUUUUAGAGUUUAAUUUAGAUUUUUUAAAGAAAAUAAAGAGAGGAAGGGGGAAUUUGAAAAUAAAAGGGGUUGGUUUUAAUUCAUUGGACCAAAUUGGGGAUGAGCCCAAGUAAAAAAAUCACCCUCCCCAGCCCAUGCAAAUUACCCAGCCCCAGUCAGCCCUAUACCCCAAAAUGAUAGUACUCCAUUUUCCAACGACCCUAUU